GAUGAACGCUGGCGGCGUGCCUAAUACAUGCAAGUCGAGCGAACAGACGAGGAGCUUGCUCCUCUGACGUUAGCGGCGGACGGGUGAGUAACACGUGGAUAACCUACCUAUAAGACUGGGAUAACUUCGGGAAACCGGAGCUAAUACUGGAUAAUAUAUUGAACCGCAUGGUUCAAUAGUGAAAGACGGUUUUGCUGUCACUUAUAGAUGGAUCCGCGCCGCAUUAGCUAGUUGGUAAGGUAACGGCUUACCAAGGCAACGAUGCGUAGCCGACCUGAGAGGGUGAUCGGCCACACUGGAGCUGAGACACGGUCCAGACUCCUACGGGAGGCAGCAGUAGGGAAUCUUCCGCAAUGGGCGAAAGCUUGACGGAGCAACGCCGCGUGAGUGAUGAAGGUCUUCGGAUCGUAAAACUCUGUUAUUAGGGAAGAACAAAUGUGUAAGUAACUAUGCACGUCUUGACGGUACCUAAUCAGAAAGCCACGGCUAACUACGUG
RNAcentral lists this ribosomal RNA (497 nucleotides) under uncultured bacterium. RNAcentral describes it as "partial 16S ribosomal RNA". It matches the Rfam family "Bacterial small subunit ribosomal RNA", at positions 28 to 507 of the family's 1533-position model. The record is from RNAcentral.